This 108-nucleotide small nuclear RNA is filed under the name Salvator merianae (Argentine black and white tegu). The record is from RNAcentral. Lineage: Eukaryota; Metazoa; Chordata; Lepidosauria; Squamata; Teiidae.
GUGCUCCCUUCAGCAGUACAUAUAUUAAAAAUUGGAACGGUACGGAGAAGAUUAGCAUGGCCCCUGCAAAAGGAUGACAAGUAAAUUCGUGAAGUGUUCCAUAGUUUA